UACAGAGGGUGCAAGCGUUGUUCGGAAUUACUGGGCGUAAAGCGCGCGUAGGCGGCUUUGUAAGUCUUCAAGGUGAAAGGCCGGGGCUCAACCCCGUGCUUGCCGGAGAUACUGCGGAGCUAGAGACCGGUAGAGGCGAGUGGAAUUUCGGGUGUAGCGGUGGAAUGCGUAGAGAUCCGAAAGAACACCGGAGGCGAAGGCGGCUCGCUGGGCCGGGUCUGACGCUGAGGCGCGAAAGCGUGGGGAGCGAACAGG
This 255-nucleotide unclassified non-coding RNA is filed under the name uncultured Gemmatimonadota bacterium. RNAcentral's name for it is "uncultured Gemmatimonadetes bacterium contains 16S-23S intergenic spacer region". It matches the Rfam family "Bacterial small subunit ribosomal RNA", at positions 524 to 776 of the family's 1533-position model. The record is from RNAcentral. Lineage: Bacteria; Pseudomonadati; Gemmatimonadota.